UACAGAGACUGCAAGCGUUAUUCGGAUUCACUGGGCGUAAAGGGUGCGCAGGCGGCCGUGUGUGUGAAGUGUGAAAGCCUGGAGCUUAACUCCAGAAUUGCAUUUCAAACUACACGGCUAGAGCAUUGGAGAGGGUAGCGGAAUUCACGGUGUAGCAGUGAAAUGCGUAGAUAUCGUGAGGAACACCAGAGGCGAAGGCGGCUACCUGGACAAUUGCUGACGCUCAGGCACGAAAGCGUGGGGAGCAAAAGGG
RNAcentral lists this ribosomal RNA (253 nucleotides) under uncultured bacterium. Its description in RNAcentral is "partial 16S ribosomal RNA". It matches the Rfam family "Bacterial small subunit ribosomal RNA", at positions 524 to 776 of the family's 1533-position model. The record is from RNAcentral.